This is a microRNA precursor of Schistosoma mansoni, 80 nucleotides long. It matches the Rfam family "mir-3492 microRNA precursor family". Lineage: Eukaryota; Metazoa; Platyhelminthes; Trematoda; Strigeidida; Schistosomatidae. The record is from Rfam.
AGCUUUUUGAAUCGGUGCUGAGAUUUCGUCAGAUACCAUCCCAUUAGGGCUGAUCAGACUUCGAAGAUAAGUUUAAAACU